GCGGGGGUAGCGAAGCCUGGCCAAACGCGCAAGCUUCAGGAGCUUGUCCCUUAGUGGGUUCGGGGGUUCGAAUCCUCCCUCCCGCA
RNAcentral lists this transfer RNA (86 nucleotides) under Candidatus Woesearchaeota archaeon. Its description in RNAcentral is "tRNA-Leu". It matches the Rfam family "tRNA". From Rfam's summary of the family: Transfer RNA (tRNA) molecules are approximately 80 nucleotides in length. The record is from RNAcentral. Lineage: Archaea; Nanobdellati; Candidatus Woesearchaeota.